UACGUAGGGGGCAAGCGUUGUCCGGAUUUAUUGGGCGUAAGGAGCGUGUAGGCGGCUUUACAGGUCCGUUGUGAAAACUCGAGGCUCAACCUCGAGACGCCGGUGGAAACCGUAAAGCUAGAGUCCGGAAGAGGAGAGUGGAAUUCCUGGUGUAGCGGUGAAAUGCGCAGAUAUCAGGAGGAACACCCGUGGCGAAAGCGGCUCUCUGGGACGGUACUGACGCUGAGACGCGAAAGCGUGGGGAGCAAACAGG
This 253-nucleotide ribosomal RNA is filed under the name uncultured bacterium. Its description in RNAcentral is "partial 16S ribosomal RNA". It matches the Rfam family "Bacterial small subunit ribosomal RNA", at positions 524 to 776 of the family's 1533-position model. The record is from RNAcentral.